UUCCGGUUGAUCCUGCCGGACCCGACUGCUAUCGGAUUGAGAUUUAGCCAUGCGAGUCGAACGUCCCCCUGUUGCGGGGGGCGUGGCGUACGGCUCAGUAACACGUAGUCAACCUGCCCUGGAGACAAGGACAACCCCGGGAAACUGGGAUUAAUCCUUGAUAGGUCAUCUCAUCUGGAAGGAGAGAUGGCUUAAAGGGGUACGCGGGCUUCUUCCGCGUAUUCGCUCCAGGAUGGGACUGCGUCCGAUCAGGCUGUUGGCGGGGUAAUGGCCCACCAAACCUGUAACCGGUACGGGCCUUGAGAGAGGUGGCCCGGAGAUGGACACUGAGAGAAGGGUCCAGGUCCUACGGGGCGCAGCAGGCGCGAAACCUUCGCAAUGCGCGAAAGCGUGACGAGGUUAAUCCGAGUGACUCCCGCUGAGGGGGUCUUUUGUCAGCUGUAAAUAGGCAGGCGAAUAAGGGGAGGGCAAGCCUGGUGUCAGCCGCCGCGGUAAUACCAGCUCCCCGAGUGGUCGGGGCGAUUAUUGGGCCUAAAGCAUCCGUAGCCGGUUCCGUAGGUCCUCUGUUAAAUCCAACCGCUCAACGGUUGACCUGCAGAGGAUACCGCGGGACUAGGAGGCGGGAGAGGCGGACGGUAUUCCGCGUGUAGGGGUAAAAUCCUUUGAUCCGCGGAGGACCACCAGUGGCGAAAGCGGUCCGCCAGAACGCGCUCGACGGUGAGGGAUGAAAGCUGGGGGAGCGAACCGGAUUAGAUACCCGGGUAGUCCCAGCCGUAAACGAUGCUAGCUAGAUGAUUCAUUCGCAAGUCGCGAAUGAAGUGUCGCAGGAAGCCGUUAAGCUAGCCGCCUGGGGAGU
Molecule: ribosomal RNA, 856 nt
Filed under: uncultured archaeon
Lineage: Archaea
Description: bacterial SSU rRNA
Rfam family: Archaeal small subunit ribosomal RNA
Source: RNAcentral